This is a long non-coding RNA of Hemicordylus capensis (graceful crag lizard), 684 nucleotides long. RefSeq lists it as uncharacterized. NCBI's taxonomy places the organism in Eukaryota, Metazoa, Chordata, Lepidosauria, Squamata, Cordylidae. The record is from RefSeq and is a predicted model, not a curated record. The transcript has 4 exons.
GGAGCUUCCUCCCUCAACUCCAGUUGCAAAGCAACCAGACUGCAGUGCUGGCAUUCAGACAUAACACUGGCACCAUGGAACCAGAGGUCCAGGCAGCAGACCUCAUUACAAACUGAAGGUGAUGCUGCAUCACAGCAAAGAUAAGGCCAAGGACUCCCUCUGCCUGGUAGUUGCCCUGACAGUGGAGGGAAUGUAAUGCCUGGACAAGGCUGCUGGAGGCUCUGAUUUGAGGACCCCCUCUCACUUUGGUCCCUUACAGAUUUCAGUCCUGACUUGAUUAUUUGAGUUCCCCUCCUGCAGUUUCUGCCGACAGUGCAACCUUGAGAUGAAUGAUUCAAUGAGUUUUCAAGGGCUUACUCGGAUUUUGGCUUAUAUUUGAGUGGGAAAAUGUAAGAAUACUUGCAACUUGUCCACCUCUUCCAGUAUGGCAUCUGCAAGAUUCAUGAGACUGCAGCAACAAGGCAUUCAAUUGUACAUAUCACAGUGAAUGCCCAUCUUGUAGCUCUGAAAAAGAAGCAUUGGCACCAUCAAUUAUACUGCAAUUUCUGAAUGUUCACCAAGCAAGUAAGAAGAAAUGCUGAAUGCUUCAUCAGGAACAAACUGACUACCAGAAGUAGGACCAGAAAUGACUGUGACAUAUUUAAAUAUAUUCUGUAUCAUUCUUUUCAGUAAAAACUGGAUGCA